AGUAACACGUGAGCAACCUGCCCCGAAGACUGGGAUAACACCGGGAAACCGGUGCUAAUACCGGAUGCCCUCCUCUGGUCGCAUGGCCUAGGGAGGAAAUGAAUUUUGCUUCGGGAGGGGCUCGCGGGCUAUCAGCUUGUUGGUGAGGUAACGGCUCACCAAGGCGACGACGGCCAGCUGGUCUGAGAGGACGACCAGCCACACUGGGACUGAGACACGGCCCAG
RNAcentral lists this ribosomal RNA (225 nucleotides) under uncultured bacterium. RNAcentral's name for it is "partial 16S ribosomal RNA". It matches the Rfam family "Bacterial small subunit ribosomal RNA", at positions 109 to 334 of the family's 1533-position model. The record is from RNAcentral.